This 770-nucleotide long non-coding RNA is filed under the name Elaeis guineensis (African oil palm). RNAcentral describes it as "long non-coding RNA (EGUI_LNC002269)". Lineage: Eukaryota; Viridiplantae; Streptophyta; Magnoliopsida; Arecales; Arecaceae. The record is from RNAcentral.
ACCGCCACGGUGACUUGCAAGCAACUCACUGCACUUAGGCACUAGACUACCUGAAUUUCUAAUUCAGUGAUGGAAGGCUGCUGGGUGUAGUCAAGUACUUGACUUGUCGGUGCGUGUGUCAAGAUGGGAUUGACCACUCCAGUUUAGGAGCUGUGUACAGUCAUGUUUCAAUUUAGCAAAAUCUUGAUCAGGGUAGUCCUAGUGAGGAGUCACAGGACUGAUUGAGUUGAGCACGAUUCGGAUGAUCUCAUCAGGGUUGACAGUUUAACCCUGAGUCGUCCUAAACACAGGGGUCAAAAGGGAUGAAUUAUACGGUAACCAUAUUCAUGUAGGUUCUGAAUGUUGUGAUUACGACUAUUCGACCUAUCCGAUCAUCGGGUACCAUUGCUAGAUGGUCACUUCGAUUAGUACAAGAAUUGGUUCCUGUGCUACCGGCUUAGGUUCGAACCUACGGGGUCACACACAUUAGAGGUUUCUUUCUGAUCUGAUGGCUGAUUAUGAGUCUUAUGUGUCUGGGACUCUAUGAUUGAGAAUUAGGAUUCUCUGAUCAUGAGUUCUACACAUUUUGGGUACCGGGAUCAAAAUUUUAAAUUUCAAAUUUUGAAUUUGAAAUUUGAACUCUUCGAUCAAGGUUUCAUAUUGAUGGACUUUGAUACCCGAUUGCCCAUCGAAUUUGGACUCAAUAAUUAUGAGAGAUUUUAUUAGUGAUUUGAUCACCAAUUAACUCAAUUUGAUUCAGUAAUUAUUUUUGGAUCAAGUUCAAUUGAAUU